This is a long non-coding RNA of Oncorhynchus tshawytscha (Chinook salmon), 1993 nucleotides long. RefSeq lists it as uncharacterized. The record is from RefSeq and is a predicted model, not a curated record. NCBI's taxonomy places the organism in Eukaryota, Metazoa, Chordata, Actinopteri, Salmoniformes, Salmonidae. The transcript has 3 exons.
GGCGGAGCAGUUGCUGUACCAGGCGGUGAUGCAGCCCGACAGGAUACUCUCGAUUAGAGAGGCUAGGGUGGAAGGAGCGUUUUCCACUUUGGAAGAUGAAGAAUUUUCAGAAUAUGAGGAUCAUGUCUCUGUCAAUUCGGAGUCUGCCAGUGACUUGAAGAGGAUGAGAUUGACCCUCAGCCAGCCCCAGGACCAGCCCAUCAGCAGCCAGCCCUAGGACCAAACUCAUUUACAUGCAUACUUUAGGGUUCUUAUUCUUGCUGGUGUUUUCAGAUGCAAUGGGAAAUUCACAGAAUCCCUGUGGGAUGCAGAAACUGACAGAGAACUUUUCCGUGCAACAAUGUCUGGAAAACUUCCACAUUUCCAGGGUUAUCAGCUUCGAUAACCGAGACACCAGACCAGCUCGGCGGCAGAGAGACAAGCUAGCUGCAGACAGGUCAGUGUGGGACAAGUGGGUGGACCGCCUUCCCCUGUUUUACAACCCUAGGCCCAACAUUACUGUUGAGCAGCAUAUGCCAUUUAGGAGCCACUGCCCCUUCAGGCAGUACAUACUGCUUCAUCAUAUGCAUGGAACUUGCACGUGUAUACGGGGAAGCCAGAUGGAGGAGCCCCUGACAAGAACCAAGAGAUGCGGGUUGUCCUGGACAUGACACAGGGACUCCAUGGCCACAACAUCACAUGCGCUAACAUUUUUACUUCUCACAAGCUGGGACAGGAGCUCCUCAAGAGGAAGCUGAUGAUGGUAGGAAUUGUACAAAAAACAAGGCAGCGCUCCCACCUCAGCUGUUGAACACACAGAACAGGCCUAUCAAUUCCUCUAAGUUUGUGUUCCCUAGCAUCCUACGCUCCAAAGAAAGGCAAAAAUGUGGUACUCAUGAGUACACUGCAUGGUGAUGGGAGAAUCUGUGUUCAGGAACAUCAAAAACAGAAAUCAUAAUGGAUUACAAUGCCACAAAAGGAGGGGUGGACAAUUAAGACAUGCUUGUGACUGGCCACAGCUGCAAAAGAAGAACCCUACUCUGGCCACUUGGACAUCUCGCGUUUCUCAUCUGGAUGGCGUUGAACCUAGAUUGGAACAGAGGAGCUCCAGAGGAGAUGGCUCUUUCUCGAGGAGCUGGGACCUAAAAUCCAGAGAAGGCAACAUAUCCCAAGGACCCCAGCUUCUGCAGCCAUCGUGAGGAGGAUUCAGGAGGAGGAUGCUGGUGCCCCAUCCGCCCGACCCACAGAACCAACAACUCCAAUACCGUAAACACACUGAAAUUCAUUGGAAAGACUGUGAAAAGAUGGUAGAAAGUCAUCUGAACGAAGACGUUGAAAGCUGUGGGAGCGAAGACUUUGAAAAGACGAUGGCAUCCUCACCACGUCUACUGGGGGUAGCUUUCUUUACUGUACUACGUGACCUGAUUCACAUUCCACACAAAUCAAAUAAAAAAUAAACAAAUACAUGAAUAAAUACAAAAUAAACAUUGAAGGAAUUGUAUAAAAGUUUGAUGUUUUGUUGCCAAUGCUGUAAAACAUACCUGGGAAAUGGAGGAAGGAGUAUCAAUCUUUUAAGCCAGCAAUAUAUUGAGCAUAUUUUGGAAAUGGAGCGUAUCUGCUCCCAUGAAGUGCAAAGAGAAAGAGAAACCUUCCUGAGAAACAAGGAGAGGAAGUAAAAUAAAAAGGAGGUUGAGGAGAGAAUGAGAGAGAGGGCACAUCUUGGCAAAUAAAAAAAGGAAUGCACGUGUGGCCUGUGUGGUCCAGCGGUUACAGCCGCUGCCCCCUGAACACAUGUAUGUCAGAGUUGGCGUAGGUUUGAAUCCAGCCCACAGCCCUUUGGCUCACCCUAACCAGAGACUAAGGAUUUAGGUUUUAAGCAGACAGGAACGCUCUGUGGUAAUGAAAUAAUAGCUAAUAGCAAACACUUGUCAUUUACAGUAGUUGACCAUAUGUAUCGCAACUGUAAAAAUGAAUCAAAUAACAAUAAAUCUAUGUGCUUUGAUUUUGUUAUUCA